Molecule: transfer RNA, 72 nt
Filed under: Acidimicrobiia bacterium
Lineage: Bacteria; Bacillati; Actinomycetota; Acidimicrobiia
Description: tRNA-Lys
Rfam family: tRNA
About the family: Transfer RNA (tRNA) molecules are approximately 80 nucleotides in length. Their secondary structure includes four short double-helical elements and three loops (D, anti-codon, and T loops).
Source: RNAcentral
GCCCCUGUAGCCAAGUGGUAAGGCAGCGGACUUUUAAUCCGAAGAGCGUGGGUUCGAUCCCCACCGGGGGCA